AAUCAAAUUCAAAACAACUCAAAGAAAUUUCAAACAAACAAUAAAAUUCUUAAAGAAAUAUUAGAAUGAUCACAAAUUUUACUCAAAUAUAUGUCAAUUCAACCUUAAUUUAAUUCUAAUUAAAACCCUAUUGAAUUUUACUCAACUUUAGACCAAACCUAAUUAAAUCUUAAACCCUAAUAAUUCCUAAAUCCUAAAUCAAAUCCUAAACAAAUCUUAAAUUAAAUCCUAUUUCAAACCCUAAAUCCUAAACCAAACCCUAAAUCAAAUCCUAACCAAAUCCUAAACCCUAAUCCAAACCCUAAUCCAAACCCUAAUCCAAACCCUAAUCCAACCCUAAACUCUAAUCCAAAUCCUAAAUCCUAAACCAAAUCUUAAAUCAAAUACUAACCAAACCCUAGUCCAAACUCUAAUCCAAACCCUAAAUCAAAUCCUAAUCCAAAUCCUAAAUCAAACCCUAAUCAAAUCCUAAAUCCCAAUCCAAAUCCUAAUCCAAACUCUAAAUCCUAAUCCAAAUCCUAAUCCAAAUCCUAAUCCAAACCCUAAACCAAACCCUAGCCAAACCCUAAUCCAAAUCCUAGUAAUUCCUAUGACAGAUUUAAACCUCAAUAUCUAAUGAAUAAACCGUUGAUCUCAAUUCAAAAUUUGCAUACUUCUUAAAAAUCAAGUUCAAAAUAAGCAAAUUUUUUUUGAAAAGGAUCGGAGUUACCAAAUUGACGAAAACCUCAAAAAUGUGUUCGGGUGUUAGCCGGCCUCCUUCUCCAAUCUUGUUGCCAACCUUCCAGAGCCAAUUUCUCUUUUGUGUGCCGUUCGAUUGGUUUCAAAUUUCUCAUGGACAUAGUAAAACAAGUCUAAUAUCCUCUCACAUAAGUUUUACUCCAAUCCAACUAGUAGAUUUCAUGAAAUCUUAAAAACCCUCACUAGACCUAAAAUUCUACUUUCUAAGACCUUGACUCACUUAAACGUCAAUAUCUCUCAGUUCAACCGUUAGAUCAAGCUCAAAUUCACAACAUAUAUUCAACACAACUAUAACCAUGAAUCCAAAAAAAUUACCCGUAGAUCUGCAACAAAACUCUCGAAAUCACUCAAAACAUAAACCCUAUUUUAUUUCAUAAAAUCCAAGUCAUCCGAAAAAAAACUCAACUUUGCAAAGCUCUUACAAAUUCAUAUCAACUCCAAAUCAUCCAAAAUCAACGCCCAUAGAAACCCUAUCCAACCUUCUCUCCGAUCUGCCAAAGAGUCCCGGAGUCGUUGUCGAGACUCGGUUUUGUGCCUUAGGGUCUGAUUUCGACCCUGGUUCAUAACCAGCUCUCUUUGGGUAUCAAUAUCUAGUUUCUAAGUAAUUUUUUUCUAGAAUUUACUCUUAACUUUCUUCUAAAGAUUCCUAUAUCAUUUAUUUUCCCAAUAUACUUUGAUUUGCCUUACUUAUGGUACUACAAAGUAAGUAGAAGUCACCUUUCUAAAAGACAGCAUUGAUACCUUUUAAUUUUUCUAUCCCUUUGGCUAUUAACUAUAUUUCUAAGAUAAUUUGUUCUAAUACUUUGAACAAAGAUCUCUUAAAUUAUAAUAAUCUCCACAUUCUUUCACCUAUUAAUCGUUUUACAUCACGACAUCCACCGUCUUUGAAUCUGUGUAUCCUCUGGCAUGCACCAAUGAUUCUUCAAUAUGUUGAUGUAGAAUGUUCUUCAUCUUGGUACAAUUCUUGAUCUUCAAUUUGCUCUUCUAUUCCAAUCUCAAUAUCUUGUAUUUGAGUUUGUUCUUCAUCAAAAGAAAUACCUUGAUCUCUUUGUUUAAAUAACUUGAUUCGUUUGCCUGCUAUGGGUAGCUUCAAUUCUAUGCCAUAAAGUUCUUGUAAUGAAUAUGUUCCAUUGUUGUGUACCCUUUUGACAAUAUAAGGUCCAAACCAUCUCUUUGGAAACUUCUUCAUAGUGCUAUGUUGAUUAUCUAAGCUACUAUCAUAAACUAAUACCCAAUCACCAUCUUCAAUAGCCUUGGGUCGUAAUCGAUGUUUUUUAUCAAAUCUUUCUUUAUUCUUUUCUCUUGCUUCUUUCAAUUUUUUUAUUGCUAUUUCAAUAUCGUUGGAUCUUCUUUCUAGUUGUUGAAUCCGUAGUGCUAAAAAUUCUUCUCUGUUGAGAUCAUUCUUCCAAGGCAAUACACCCCAUGUAAGUACUACAUCUUCUUUUGGCAUUACUGGUUUUUGACCAUAUACUAAUUCAGAAGGCAUAUAACCUGUUAUCGAACUAUGAGUUGUACGAUCUGUCCAUAGUACAAAUGUUAGUAGUCUAGGCCAUUCAUGUGCUUUUCCAUUGCAUGCCUUUACUAAUGCCUUAACAAUAGGUGAAUGCCUACGCUUACUUUUACCAUUACCUUCUGGAUUAUAUGCAGUUGUUAAAGGAAGUUUAAUUCCUAUCCUAUUAAAGAAUUCUUGUGCUUCCUUUGCAUCCAAUUCACCUCUGUCUGCCGUAAUUUUUCCAAUACAACCAUAACGACAAAUAACUUCUUCUAAUAGAAAUUGACAUACACCUUUAGUAUCCUUUGUUCUUAAUGCUCGUCCUUCAACCAUAUUUGAUAAAUCUUCUCGUGCAAGUACCAAAUACUUCAUUUGUCCAAGUCCCAUAGGCAUUGCCACUAAAUCCACCACCCAUUUGUAAUGUAAAGCCAAAAGGUAUGUUGGAUGUAAUCCAUCUCGAUGUCGAAUAUUUGAAUAUACUUGGCAAGUCCCACAAGAUUCUACAAAUUUUGCUAUGUCUUUGUACAUUCCCUUCCACCAAUAUUUUUUCUUUAACUUAGUGAAUGUUGUCCAAAUACCUCGAUGCCCUGCUCAUAAAUUUUCAUGAAAUUCUUUAAUAAUCUUUUGUUGAACUUCUAAACUACAUAUCACCCUUUGUGGUACUUCUCCUCUCUUUUUUGGAUGAUUCCAUAAAUAUCCAUCAUGUUAAAAAUAUCCAUAGGUUUUCUUAUGAAUUUUCUUAAAUUCUUGAUCUGCCCAAUCUUUUUGUCGUUUUAAUGUGCUCAAAUACUCUUCAACAUCUUUCCAUUCAUUUUCAUAUAAAUCUCUUAAAAAUGCUUCUAAUGGUAUAUUAAAACAUACACCCUUUUCUUUUGAUAACGCAUUGGUAUAAAAUUUUGUACCCACAUCAUCUUCUAAAUCAAUCAUCUUUUCUUCAUCAUUAUACCUUGCUCUCGAUAACAUAUCUGCAACUGAAUUUUCUUUCCUUGCAAUAUAUUUAAAUUCAGGAUUCAUAGAUUUGAUAUAUGCUAUCCACCUCAACAUAGCAAUAUCAAGAGUUGAACAACUUGUAAUCAUGCCUAACAAAGGUAGACAAUUUAUUUCUAUAACUAUUGAUGCUCCAAUCAAGUACUCUUUUUCAUUUUUCAUAGCUAUUACUAUAUCCCAUAAUUCUCUUCUCUUUUGAUUUACACAUAUGCCUUUUGCCUAGAAUUCAAUACCUUUACUCCAAAUCUUACUACAUAUCUAUUUCCUUGUUGAUCAUCUUGCCCAAUUGCCCAACCUAUUCUAAUUGGACUUGCAUCAACUGUUAAUACCAUUGGCCUUCCACCUUCAUAAUUUACUUUCUUCAAAGUUGGAGAUGAAGAAAGAAGUUCUUUCAAUUUUUCCAUAGCUUUCCAUUAUUUUUCUUUCCAUUGAAAUUUUUGAUUCUUUCUUAACAACUUAUAUAAUGGAUCUGCUAUAUGUGCAAAGUGAGGUAUCCAUAUAUGAUAGAAAAUACAUGCUCCUAAAAAUCUUCUCACUUCCGUUGUAUUUGUACAUUCUUUCAUCUUUUUAAUAAUAUCAAUCUUUUCUAUACUUGGCUUACGUCCAUAUGAACCACAUAUGUGUCCUACCACCAAAAUUUCUUUUACUCCAAACAUUGAUUUUGUCCUCGAUAAGGUUAAAUGAACUUCUUCCAAUCUUUUCAAAAUCUUCUCACAAUCUUCAAUAUGAUCUGCCACAAACUUCCUACAUCCCUUUGAAUCUAAAGUUUCAUCCUUUCUUUCUUCUUCACAUCCCUUAAUAGGUACAUCAUCUAAGAAAGGUAUUAUUAUUUUUGGAAUAAAAUCUCUUAAUACCUUAUACAUUCCAUUCAUCAUAUGUGCUAUAGAAUUUGUAGCCCCUUGUGGUAAUGUGUACAUUCUAACCAAUCCUAACGGUGUCUUCAUAGUUGUCAAAUCCCUACUUUGUAUUGCCAAUUGGAAUUGAUCAUAACCUGAAUAAAGAUCACCCAUUGAGUAGAUAGCUCUUCCAACAAAUUCUUCUGCAAAUUCAUCCACAAUUGGACUUGAAUCCAUAUUUUUAAUAGUCACUUUAUUUACGGGUUGCAUAUCUUAUAUAAAUCUCAUUGUUCCAUUUUUCUUUGGCACUAUAAACCAUCGAUUAGAAUAAGGUGCUAUAGAUGGUUCCAAAAUUCCUAUUUUAAUCUUUUCAUUGAUUAAAUCUACUAACUUAGAUAAAUGCGCUCUUGAUACUGGAAUUGGUCGCAAAUUCCAUGGUUCAUGAGGAAUAGUAAAAAUAACCAUGGGUGCUACAAUAUAUGAAUCAACACACCCAAUUUCAUGUGCUUCAAAUGCAAAAGCUUUUCCAUGAUGUGAAAGCAUAUCCCUAAAACAUUUUUCUUCACAUUUUGUCAAAAAUCCAUCACCUCCAACAUUUAACCCAUCUAAUGUAACAUCCGUAAAUUUAUGCCCUAUCUUCCUUGCAUCUCUUAGAUUUGGUUGUGUCGAUGCUCUACUUAUCAUUUCUUCACAAUCACAUGGUAGUGGCAAAGCCACUAGUUUGACCUUCUUUGCUACUGAUUCAUACUUAGUUUCAAUAUAUACCUCUUGGCGACUUAAUUUUUUUUUAAAUCCUUGAAUUUCAUCAUAAAAUUCUUUAGAACACACAUUAAUAACUCUAUUCUCUACUUGUAACCCACAUUGUAAUAGAUAAUUUAAUUCCCCCAUAGUAUCUGCAAAACCUACUUCUUCAUAUGUUCCUGAAAUAAAUUCAUUUUCAACCAAUUCUCCAUUUUCUUUCAAAAUUUUUUUUAUAUUUUUAAUAUAACAUCUGUCCCUCUUUUUCAUUUUGUCAAUAGUUUUAAAAGUCAAUACAUAAUCUUGUGUCAUCCCAAUAAGUCCGAUAGAUAACAAUUCUUUUUCUAAAUUAAGCAAAAGCAUUUCUUUCUCUAAUCCAUUGCAACCCCGCUUUACAAUGGUAUGUGGUAAAAAUCCUCAAGGUCUUCAAAUUUCUCAUUUGAUAUUGGUUUCUCUCUCAACUUAUCACGAUUUCUCUCAUGAUUAGCACAAAUAGUUAAAAAUUAAACUGCUUUCAUGCCAUCUUAGCUUCUUAUUCUUGCAUAAGCUGAACCAUCAUCCAUUACUUUUGUUUCCAUUCGUGUGGAAAUAAUAUAUGGUUGUCCCAAUAUAAUAGGAUAUGUAGGCAUGUCUUGCAAAAAGAAAUUUUGUUCAUGAAUAACAUUUCCAAUUGUCACUUUGAUAUUUGGACAUGCUCCAUACAAAUCUCCUUUUGAAUUAUUCGCAACUCUUAUCAUCCAUCCAUGUUCAGUAUCAAUAGGCCAUUUUCUCUUGUUAUGUAAUUCCUUUGAUAUCAAAUUGAUUUCAGAACCAUGAUCAAUUAAUGCUACAACUGGUUCUUCUAAAUUUCCCAAUUUUAUUAAAGUCUCCGUUGUAGCCCUUGCCCAAUGACUUCUAGAAUAAUGGCUAGAAGCUUGAAUGACAUCUUCUUUUUCUGCAAACCUUACUUGCAAGACAUCUCCAAAAUUUUAUAUUUCAUCUUCUUCAUCUUCAUUUCUUUCUAUUGCUCUUGUUUCUUGUGCAUUUGAUGUCAUAGAGUCUCCUAUAGAUUGUCGUUUUUUUUUUAUUGUAUCAAUUAUAACUUCAUGAAACUCACGCUUUGCAAUUCCUAGAAUUUCACCAAUUGUGAAUUCAAUCUUUCCACUUAAAAUCCACUCCUCCAAUACCUUCUUCAAAUCUGUAGCUGCUUCAAUAUCUGAUUAUAAUUUAUAAGCAAGAGCCUUUGCUUUUUCUUUUUUAAUUUCCCUCUCUUUUGUAGAAAUGCUCUCCAUUGUUUCUUCAUGUAUAGAAUUCUUUUGUUGUCGUACUUUUUCUCCCCUUGUAAUUCUUUUUGAGGGCCCUUCAUUAUUUUCAUUUCUCCUUCGUUUUUCUUCUACUAAUGCUUCAUGUUGAUUCCUUGCAAUAUGAGCAUGUACAGAUAGUCUAUCUACUGGAUCAUCCCACCCAAUAAUUUUUCGAAUGUUAUUACCAACAUGUUUCAAAUCAUCUCUAGUAAAAUUUCUCCUUUCAAUAUACCUCAUUGCACUUGUCCACAAAGAACUAGAUUCUAUUGGAAAUUCAAGGUUUAUACUUAAACAUCUUCUAGUAUCUGCUUCUACCCAAUAUGUUGAUGCUUCAUUGCUUGAGAUUGUCUGCACUUUAAAAGUAUCUCCAAUAAAUAACUUCAUUCCUCCUUUACCAAAAUUUGUUUCUAAUUUUUCUCCAUUUUCUUUUGAGUGCAUCAUACCAUCUUUAAAAAAAACAACUCCUUUACAUAAUGCCUCUGUAAAUUCUUCACAUUCCCUCCUCGAGUGAUCUAUGUUGUCACACCACAUGCAUCUAUGUACUACACCCUCCAUUAGCCUUGGUUUUUGUUUUGUUGAUAUUCUUGGUGAUUGACCUUUUUCUUCAAGUUUUGCAAAUUUUAUUUGCAAAUCUCUCAUCCCACGUAUGAUUUCAUCAAUUCCUGUUUCUUCUUUCUUUGAUGUAACUAUUGAAGGUUGAAUUAAAGAUGUCGGAUGGAUACUAGACACCUUUAUCUUAAAUGGUUGUAAUGGUCUUUGAUCACCCCCCAUAUCUUUUCUCUUUUCUCUUUUUGUCAUCAUCCUUACAACAUCCUCUACCCUUUCCCAAUUUGUUGUCAAUCCUUCAUCUUCUUCUUUAUCUUCAAGCAUGAAUUCCAACUUAUCUUGCAACUUUCCAUCAGCUGCUUGAAGAAAGAGCUCUACCUUACUUGAAUCCAAUAACUCUCUUUCUUUCUUUGAUAAAGAAAAAUAUUGCUUUUCAAACUCCCUUAAUAAUUCUAUUGCUAGAAGAUCCUUCUUUGGCUUUUCAAUCCAUUCAAAAAAAGACCUUUUUGUAACCCUAUCACUAUUUUCUAAGAAAAACUCAUCCUUCAAAGCUUGAGAAAAUUUCUCCCAUGAACCUCGAAAGUGUUGAAUAAUAAACUUAACUUAAUUUCUUAUCUCUCGUGCAGAGCCUAAUUCAAAUAAUUGAACCAUCUCACUUUCUGAAAUAUGCUUCAAUUCCAUUUCCUUUACAUAACAUCUUAAAUAUUUUAUAAUAUCCUUUCCUUUAAAUUAAUCGAUCUUGUCCACGACCGCUUGUAAUGCUUUGUUAGCUAUACUCUCUUUGCGAUUUUUAACCUGUUGCUCUUAUUAUUGCAUGAAUAAGGUCAAAGCUUCGAACAUGCUUGUGGAAUUAGGAUCAAAAUGCAUACCUUGUCCUCCAAAUGAAGCUCUUCUUCCAACUCCACUUGAAGCACUAUCCAAAUUGCCUCCUUCCAUUCUCCUUUAAUUCCUUCUCCAACAUUCAAAUAAAAAAAUAAAUAAAAAUAAUAAUAAUAAAUUCCUUCCACCUCAAGCGUUUUAUGUCGGGUUCACCAAAUAUGUCAUAAUGUGUUAAGUCCUGCUUGAGAAUGCUCCGAGCACCUGGAUGUAGAAGGAAGAAUAGAAAUUGCGAUAACAAAAUCCUAAUUCUAAUAGAAUACUAACAAUGCUCUAAUUAGACUAUAAUAAUGGUAAACAAACGUAAUCAAAUUCAAAACAACUCAAAGAAAUUUCAAACAAACAAUAAAAUUCUUAAAGAAAUAUUAGAAUGAUCACAAAUUUUACUCAAAUAUAUGUCAAUUCAACCUUAAUUUAAUUCUAAUUAAAACCCUAUUGAAUUUUACUCAACUUUAGACCAAACCUAAUUAAAUCUUAAACCCUAAUAAUUCCUAAAUCCUAAAUCAAAUCCUAAACAAAUCUUAAAUUAAAUCCUAUUUCAAACCCUAAAUCCUAAACCAAACCCUAAAUCAAAUCCUAACCAAAUCCUAAACCCUAAUCCAAACCCUAAUCCAAACCCUAAUCCAAACCCUAAUCCAACCCUAAACUCUAAUCCAAAUCCUAAAUCCUAAACCAAAUCUUAAAUCAAAUACUAACCAAACCCUAGUCCAAACUCUAAUCCAAACCCUAAAUCAAAUCCUAAUCCAAAUCCUAAAUCAAACCCUAAUCAAAUCCUAAAUCCUAAUCCAAAUCCUAAUCCAAACCCUAAAUCCUAAUCCAAACCCUAAUCCAAACCCUAAUCCAAAUCCUAAACCAAACCCUAGCCAAACCCUAAUCCAAAUCCUAGUAAUUCCUAUGACAGAUUUAAACCUCAAUAUCUAAUGAAUAAACCGUUGAUCUCAAUUCAAAAUUUGCAUACUUCUUAAAAAUCAAG
This 8469-nucleotide long non-coding RNA is filed under the name Physcomitrium patens. RNAcentral's name for it is "long non-coding RNA (PPAT_LNC002935)". Lineage: Eukaryota; Viridiplantae; Streptophyta; Bryopsida; Funariales; Funariaceae. The record is from RNAcentral.